AAUGAGGGUUUUAAUGGCCGCAGUAUUUUGACUGUGCAAAGGUAGCAUAAUCAUUAGUUUCUUAAUUAGGAGCUGGAAUGAAUGGUUUGAUGAGAAAUUAACUGUCUCUGAUUAAUUUUAUUAGAAUUUGAAUUUUAAGUGAGAAUGCUUAAAUUUUCUAGAAAGACGAGAAGACCCUAUAGAGUUUGAUUAUUUUUUUUAUUAAGGUUUAUUUAGGAUUAGGAUUUAUUUAAUAAUUAAUAUAAUUUUGUUGGGGUGACGGAAAAAUUUAUUUAACUUUUUAAUUUUUUUACACUAAUUAGUGAUUGGUUGAUCCUGUUAAUAUGGAUUAAAAGAUUUAAUUACCUUAGGGAUAACAGCGUAAUUUUUUUUGAAAGUUCACAUUUAUAAAAAAGUUUGCGACCUCGAUGUUGGAUUAAAAUUAAUUUUAGGUGUAGCAGCUGAAAUGAUUA
This 452-nucleotide ribosomal RNA is filed under the name Tribolium audax (American black flour beetle). Its description in RNAcentral is "partial 16S ribosomal RNA". It matches the Rfam family "Bacterial large subunit ribosomal RNA", at positions 1914 to 2573 of the family's 2925-position model. The record is from RNAcentral. Lineage: Eukaryota; Metazoa; Arthropoda; Insecta; Coleoptera; Tenebrionidae.